This 2131-nucleotide long non-coding RNA is filed under the name Brachypodium distachyon (stiff brome). Its description in RNAcentral is "long non-coding RNA (BDIS_LNC001969)". Lineage: Eukaryota; Viridiplantae; Streptophyta; Magnoliopsida; Poales; Poaceae. The record is from RNAcentral.
GGGGUAAUCCGAAAAGUUGUCUCACUUAACUCGUGUGCCAUCCCACGUCUCAUCGCAUACGUCUGUUUACGAUCAGACGCUCCAGAAAGAAUUUUCAGAUUUUCACCGGGCAACUAUUUUCACCAGAUACGCUCCCUAUCAAGGUCGUUUGAGCAUUAGACAUCCGUUUUUGUAUGGGUCUAGUUGACUUCAAAACAAUGGAUAGUCUUUGAUAAGUUUUAUUCUAAUCCUCUAGUGGUUAUCAUCUAACAAUGGUUUUUUUCAUUGAGAUGGGAGCUACUAAGUCUAGACUGUCGACCUUGUUUCGGUAGAGGUAACUGUGUUGUGGUGGUUCAGUAGCGGGGUGUCUUGGGUGGUUGCGCAAAUCCGGAUCAUCUUGCGACCUUGUUUCGGUGGAAGCCGACUAUGUUGCUUCGACACGAUAGUUGUCGAGGAGGUCUGCCACAAGGUGCAAACGUCGUGGAUGGGCCGGGGUUAGACUUUUCAAUCCCGUGUCCAUGUUCUAUGAGUGCCUUCCCCGCUGAUCUGGUUUUUAUGGGGCACCUUUCCCCUUUGUCAGCUAGUUUCUGAUCACUCAUAUGUUCAUAUUGCUGUAGAACUACCUUGAAUUGACUGAUGGACUCUCGAAUUUUGAUGAUCCCAAAGCAGUCUUCUUUAGACGUGCGACGUGGAUCUCGUAUGCAGGGUCAUUUGCUUUAUCAUCGUUUAGUUUUUCCUAGAAAGGCAUACCAAUUUUGUAGGUGAAUGUACGUUUUGUUCAUGUUUGGUUUCUGGUUGUCAAGGGUAGGAGGUAUAUAUGGUAUUGCCGAUUCGGCAAGUAGGGAUAUAUCAGAAGCUGACUUUUGUUAGGCGGUGCUUUUCGAGUAUCGGGUCUCGGGCUCCACGGUGAAAACAAGUAUGAUUUUCACUGGUUAUGCCUAGCAAUCAGGUGUAUACGCACUGUUUCCUUGUUGAAGGCAUUGUUCGGUGACCAUCCGAAUGUGCUCUUUGAGAUGAAAACUCAUGAUUUGAGUUUCAUGCAUCUGAAGCCAGUGGAGCAACUGGAGAUCCUUUUCUCGUCGUCUAAAUGUUGUACUGUUGGUGUGGCUGAUGUUGAAGAUUGCUACUAUGACUCUGAUGGACUCAGAGCCUUAUUUGCUUUCUCUUUUUUCAUAAUUUGGCUAUAUGCACCUCUAAUGUCUCAAUUAGAUCUUUGACGUCGUGUGUUAUGUUCCCUCCAACAACAAUAAAAUGAUCAUCUCAUGCUUUUUAUUUUGACGGUUGACAUCAGUUAAUUUGUUAGCUUUACUUUGAUGUUUUUCUUUCCUUUUUGUACGAACCCAGUGGUCGAGCGGGCUCAGUGAACCUUUUUCUUUCUUUCUUUUUUGGUUUGGCUUCGUGUAUGUAAACGCAGAAAUGGAGUGAAUACGGUUUUUUUUUAUGUGCUACGUAUAUGAGCUGAAGUUUAAACGAAAAGCAAAUAGAUUCGAUGUGUCAUACGAAAUUCAGGCCUUAAUGAACUACCCAGUUCCACUAAAAUUAUCAAAGGACUGCUCGUACACAUAAUCUCCCAUUCUCCCUGAAAAUCUUUUGAGCGAGCAAAGGAAAAGUUGGUCAAACUUUCAAAAGGAUAAGAAUCUACUUUAGAGAAGGAAAUAUUUUUCCUUUUCUCAAAAGGCUGAGACAGAGAUACCGAGAUUUGGAACUAUUGAUCAAAUAUCUAGAGGAAACUCCACUUAUCCCAGGGAAACGCAGCAACCAUAGCACACAUUUUCCUCUAACACGUACUCUGCUGUCCAAGGAAUGCAUGCAUGCAAAAGCUAUGGAGCAGAGUUAAGCACACUGCACACUUUGGGCUUUGCUUUCCUAACUCUGAACUGAGUUUUCAAUUCUCGUUCCAUCUCGAUGGCACACUUUGGACGCACAUACGUUACGGCAGAAUCCGGGGCGGGAUUCAGUCGGGCACUUUGCCGCAGGCCACAGGAAACGCAACCACAUCUUUCCCGAAAGCGCACGCAGGAUGAGGGAUUGAGGGAGAAGGAAUCCCACAAAGGCAAAGGCAGCACGAACGCACGAUUGGUCAGACGACGACAGAAGGCAUGAAAGUGAAACGAAAGGCGGCGAGCACCGCAUCCUGUCGCCGCCGGCAAGG